This 70-nucleotide transfer RNA is filed under the name Bedotia geayi (Madagascar rainbowfish). RNAcentral describes it as "tRNA-Tyr". It matches the Rfam family "tRNA". Rfam says of the family: Transfer RNA (tRNA) molecules are approximately 80 nucleotides in length. Their secondary structure includes four short double-helical elements and three loops (D, anti-codon, and T loops). Further hydrogen bonds mediate the characteristic L-shaped molecular structure. tRNAs have two regions of fundamental functional importance: the anti-codon, which is responsible for specific mRNA codon recognition, and the 3' end, to which the tRNAs corresponding amino acid is attached (by aminoacyl-tRNA synthetases). tRNAs cope with the degeneracy of the genetic code in two manners: having more than one tRNA (with a specific anti-codon) for a particular amino acid; and 'wobble' base-pairing, i.e. permitting non-standard base-pairing at the 3rd anti-codon position. The record is from RNAcentral. Lineage: Eukaryota; Metazoa; Chordata; Actinopteri; Atheriniformes; Bedotiidae.
GGUAAGAUGGCUGAGCAAUAAGCGGUGGAUUGUAGCCCCAUAAACAGAGGUUUGAGUCCUCUUCUUACCA